RNAcentral lists this ribosomal RNA (325 nucleotides) under uncultured eukaryote. RNAcentral's name for it is "partial 18S ribosomal RNA". It matches the Rfam family "Eukaryotic small subunit ribosomal RNA", at positions 1470 to 1796 of the family's 1831-position model. The record is from RNAcentral.
CCCUUAGAUGUCCUGGGCCGCACGCGCGCUGCACUGAUGCAUUCAACGAGUUCUACCUUGGCCGAGAGGCCUGGGCAAUCUUUUGAACCUGCAUCGUGAUAGGGAUAGAUUAUUGCAAUUAUUAAUCUUGAACGAGGAAUUCCUAGUAAACGCAGAUCAUCAAUCUGCAUUGAUUACGUCCCUGCCCUUUGUACACACCGCCCGUCGCACCUACCGAUUGAAUGGUCCGGUGAAGCCUCGGGAUUGUGGCGAGUUCCCUUUAUUGGGAGUUUGUCGCGAGAACUUGUCUAAACCUUAUCAUUUAGAGGAAGGUGAAGUCGUAACA